Long non-coding RNA from Cavia porcellus (domestic guinea pig), 5938 nucleotides. RefSeq lists it as uncharacterized. The record is from RefSeq and is a predicted model, not a curated record. Lineage: Eukaryota; Metazoa; Chordata; Mammalia; Rodentia; Caviidae. The transcript has 2 exons.
UGCUGUAAGUGCAUUUCCAGAAAGUUGUGGGAAUCAGCCAUCACUGCUGAGUGCACAGCCCCUGCAGCCAGCAUUCUGGGAUGCACACACUUGCCUGGUUGCCUGGUUACGGAGCAGAGGAGGAAAGGGGAGCUGGGAGGAGGCAGCCUGGAAUGGCAGCAGGUGGACUGCACAAUGCUGGAACUGCCAGGAGUCUUUUUGUUUUGAUAAAUACAUGGACUUUCUCCAGAUUUACUGUGUCACAGCCUGGGCAGACACAGUGACCUCGCUGUGAGGUGCUAAUGGAGCUGGUUGCCUGCAGAGGGCCAGUAUGGUCAUCAGCAUGGAUCCCUGCUUUGGACAAGAACGAGAAAAGCAUGAGCUAUUUCCAGCUCCCCUGGCUGGGAACACUGACUCGGACUUCUUGCUCUCCAGCCUCAGAGCUCAGUAAGAGACAGACAGACAGCUUCUGGACCAAACUCAAGGACUAACAAGCCCCAUGCCAAGAUUAUCCUGCCCCCGCCGGAGCCUGAAGAGCUGCUCAAUCACACACCAGCCUGGGUGAGUCGGCUCUAGAUGUCCACCGAGGCCAGGUCAGCAAAGGGGUCACUGAGAGCCUCUUGGCUACUGAGCCACUGUCCAGCAAGGGACCCCAGAAUUCCGCAUUGCCUGGUAGCAUCUAGGCCUGCUCAGAUGGUAGCCAUAACAUCCACUCCACAGGUGCUUGAGAUUGACCAAGGUAGGACUGAACCCACAGAAAGUGGGCCAUCAAAGGGCUCACAGGCACAGGCUCUGAAACACACAUCUGAUUCUGCCACUUACAGGUCAAAGGACUUUGAUGUGGGUCCUCUCUUUUCUCUGGCCUGAGUUUUCCAGUGAGGCAAUGAUGACACACAGACUGACCUAACAGAGCCUUCGAUAAGUAGAGACAAGGUAAACAAAGGACAUAACAAGGAAUCUUCCACACAUGCAUGUCCCAUAAGGAGGGUGACCAUCCUUACUCCAACUCAUCUUUUACCCUAAUUACUCACAACACUCAACUUUCCAUUCAAAGAGUCCUAGUUUGAGUGACAAAGGUUAUGGUCACCCUAUUAAUAGUUGACAAUGACAAUGACUCACAGGGGCAGAGGCCUUCUGGGGAACCUGGAGAGGUCGCUGCAUGGGAACAAGCUUGAGCACCAUGGUGUGGAACUGCGUUGCUGGCAUCUUUUGGUUCUGUACCACUCAGCUAUGCUGUGCCCAAGGAAAAGGACAUGAGCCUGACACACAGUGGAUUGAAUGAUGUGCAGAUGACAGAUGAGAUGUUUUGUUUGAAAGGGAUUCUGUCCCCUGUGAGCCUUUGGUCCUGCUGAAGCUAUGGCCAUCAAAAGCAAGGCCAGUAGGAGACAGAUGAGGAGCCCAGAGCAGGCAUCUGCAGAGCUGUGGGGAAGCCAGGUCCUGUUCACACAAAUCAGGAAGAUUCAGGAAAGGGCUGGACCUGGGCCACCUGAAAACCCUCUGAAGAUAAUUCAAGAACUUUCUUCUUGAUACUGUUUUCCCUCAAAUACUUCAUCCCUCUGUUUUCCCUUCAGUGAGGAGCUCUCUGGUGACAACACAGAUGACAAUGACCAGGACACAGAAACUGACACGGCUCUACAACCCAGAAAGAACAGCCAUUUUUGCCUGAGUUGGGAUGAAGAGCCACCAUAUUGUUGGUCUUUUCUUCACCCUAAUUGGAAAGGGUAGGACUGUAACCACCAUUCCCAAGGACAGAAAAGUGGAACCUGGAAAGAUGAAGCCUUUCCUUAAGGUGACCCAGCUGGAUAUGGUAGAAUUCCACCUGGAAUCUACCAUCCAGGGAAACUGAGCUCAAGUGGCUCCUACACUGGGAUAGCUUGUUUGCCAGGGUAGGGUCUGUGUCCAAACUGUGGCUGCUCCUUCUCAACAGCCCUGGGUCCCAGAGAAGAAGACAGAGUCAGCUAUGAAGGAUCAAGAACACCCCUCUGAGGAAGGCUUGCCUUCAGAAUACAGCACACAGAUACACUGUUCAGUUUUCCAUUACUGUAACAAACACCUGAGAGGAUCCACGUGUGAGGAGGAAAGGUUUAUUUCCAGUUUACUGCUUUAGAGGAUAACAGCCCCAGAGCUGGAGGAGUGAUUCAUUGUGCAGGAAGGAUGUCAGUGCUGGCUGGACUUGGCAUGUGUAUCGUCAGAGCAUCAGAGUAUCGUCAUGGUGAAAGCCAGGGUGAGUGUGGCAUUGGGUGAAGAUCAAGAUCAAUGUGUCAUCAAAGUGAAAGUUAAGGCCUGAUCAAGUGGUACAAAGUGUUUUCUGCUGUCAUCACAACAUUCCUGAGAAUGAGUAAUUCAUUCUCAGGUGCUGGUUUUCUUGGCUUAUGAUUCUGGAGGCUGGAAGUUGGAGAACAAGGCAGCAGAGUCUGCUCAACAUCUGGCAAAUGUACUGUUUCCUGGGGGAGGACGUUAUGAGGUGAGACAGACCAAGUGUGCCAGUGCACGUCUUUCUUCCUCUUCUUCCAAAGCCACUAAUGCCAUCCUAGGGUCCCACCUCAUGACCUCAUUGGAAUGGCCAAUUGACCAGCCUGCAAAUGCUCUUAUCAUCUGAACUUGGGGAUAAUAUUUCAACACAGGAACUUUGGGGGACACAUUCAAAUCACAGAGAAUCUCUGAUUUCUAAGGCCUGGAGCACAAGGUUCAGGCAAGCAUAUGACAGGAGAAUCUGGGGAGCAGAUGGGCCUGGAAGGGUUAGAGUGCAAGGAUCUAGUCACAUUGGCUGUAAGCACAAACUUGGCCCAGAAAAGGAAGGGCUGGUUACUAGGACAGAGCUACAAGAGCAGAAUGAGAUGAGAGGGGCAUUGGGUCCCCUGUCUCCAACUCAGAGUUCCUCAAAUGCCCCUUGACUCAGGCUGUGACAGUGGUUGCCACUGGAGGUGCAGGUCACCAGGAGGUGGGGCACAGGCUGACGCAGAGGUGGGCACACUGUGAGAACCAUUGUUUGCUGAAUGCGCUGCGUAUCCCUUUUUCCUCCCCUUGCUCCCCAUUCCUGCUUCCCUUUGACAGAGGUCUACCGCCCUGUUCACUAGCCUUAACUUUUACUUUGUUUUUAAUUGACUUAUAUGUCAGCAGUCUUUAGUCCGGGAACUGUGGCCUUGGUGACGACGGUCCUUGUGAAUGAUGGCUUAGUGAUUGAGAAGACAAGCUUGUGUCUUGCGAUCAGCAAAAUGUCAGUUAAUGGCAGGGGGACCCCAGAUGUCUGUCAUUUUUCUCCUCUCUGAGACACAAUACCUGAUACUCACAACUUAUUUGGGCUCACAUGUUAGUCCACAGAGGGGUGGCGCAUGGCAGAGGGUCAUGGCGGAGGAGAGCUGCUCAAGGAAUGGAGGACAGGAAGCAGAGAGCAGAGGGAGGAGCUGGGAAAGGAAAUGAACCCUUCUGAGCCACAGCUCCAGCCACUGCCUCUUCUGACCAGACCCCAUCUCCGAAGAGGAAGUCAGCGGUGAGCGCCCCCAUGAUCCAUGCAUCUUCCAAAAACCCUGCCUGUAAGCAGGAGGCUUUGGGGGGACACAUCUAGACAGAAACCAUAGCCCCAGCUUCUAUGUGUCUCUGAGAGCAUCUUGCACAGCCUUUGUAAGCAGUGCCCCCACUGGUAUUUCCGACAAGAACCGAUUUCCCCAAAGUAGGUUGGGAGCUCCAGAGAAGCUUGUGAACUCUCACUUUGAUUUUUCCAUGUUGAAAUUCAAAGAACAUGAACUUCAAAGUUCAUUGGAGAGGGAAAAAAUACUUUUUAAAUAUGAAAUACGCUUGGCAGGAAGGGAAUUGAAAACUGGCAGGGAGAUGGGAGACCCGAGCUGUGGCCCAGCAAACGCGCCCCAUGGCUGGCCUCGCCUUUGGCUAGGGCUGGAUCCUCGGCUGCGGUGGCUGGUGCUGCCCUGGAUGCAGAGUCCCUGAGCCCAGGUGCAUCGGUGGGUGUCCAGCACCUUCAGCCAGGUCCACUUGUCUCGAGCUCUGUCAUUGAAAUCACUUUUCCACGCGAGCCAUAGUGUCACUUGGUCAGCUCAGUGCUGCCCGAGCUCUCUGCAAACUGCUCUGCUCUCUUUAUUGACCUUUGCCAGAAAAAAGAAAUGGGGGACACUGAUUAAGGGUAGGGGGCAUCGUUUUCCAGCACAACAUGAAUAUGAGCCAAGCUGAGCCCUGCCAGGAACUACUUUUAAGGUGCAGGCAGGUAUCCUGCAUCCUCAGUGGUUUUCCUGGGAUUUUUAUGUUUGUGAGCCUGUGUUUGCAGCACAGGCUGAUUGCAUUCACGGCAGGGAGUUGGUGCACGGACAGAACACAUCUUGACUGGGUUCUUCUUUUUAUCCCUUUUUCCUCCCCUUGCUCCCCACUCCUGCUUCCCUUUGACAGAGGUCUACUGCCCUGUUCACUAGCCUUAACUUUUACUUUGUUCUUUAAUUGACUUACAUGUCAGCAGUCUUUAGUCUAGGAACUGUGGCCUUGGUAACGGUCCUUGUGAACGAUGGCUUAGUGCUUGGAAGAACGAGCUUGUGUCUUGCAAUCUGGCAAAAUAGUCUACACUGGGAAGAACUGGAGGAUGAGGUUAGGAGUGAAUCCACUCUCCUGGCCCCCUGGGACAUCCAUUACCUUUGCUGACUGCCAUCCCUUCCCAUCUUCUCUAGACAUCAGCACUGAGUUUCCCACUCAUGACCCAAUUCUCCCACUGUCAGCUUCUCAGAUCUGGGUGAACCUGACUGUCCCGGCUCCAACUGGCAUCAGCCAAACUUGAAAAAAAUCACAAAAUCAACUGCCAUGCUUUGGGUUCUAGAGUCAAAGGGGUCUAACAUUAUAAAAUGACUUUUUCAAAUAAACCCAUAUGGCAAAUUUAUAAUAAACUGUGCUCUUGGCCCUGAUCUCUCCCUCUCUUUCUCUUGAAAGUGCCAACAGAUGAUGCUGGUACAGGCUAUUCUGUCCUCAGGCAUUGGGGGACAUUUAUACAAAUGACCAAUGGGAACAAAUUAGAUUCUAUAUUAUGUUGAUGAAUCUCAGCAGGCGCAAGCCCCCUUCUGAUCUAACAACUAGAGCUACCUCAGCUAUAGCAAAAUGUGAGUCAAAGUUUGCAAAGGACCAGAGUGGAAGUUUUAAUGCAUCUUGAAAUUUUGUCCUUCUAACACCAAUAUUAAUGCAGAUCAAAGAGACGCAUCCACAGCUUGGUUGACAUGAGACUGCCUCACAGAAAGUCUGUCAUUGCUUUGCCCACAAAUCUCUUCAUUUCUGGCCAGGCUUUUGGCUAGCAUAGUGCUGAUGGUUGAGCUCAGUUUCCUCCCAACUGGACCUGGUCAUGGUAUACUCUGUGGUCUAAAGACCUUGACAUGGUGGUAUCAUUUGUCCAUGAAGACUUGCCAGUGGCAACCAUUGGUAGUAAAGCUAAGAACCACGCCACAUGGUAUCAGAUUCUCAGGUCCGUCUCUUGGAAAGUACUUUUGUCCCCCAGGGAACUUGGAGAUUGAAAGAAAGGGCAAUGUGGGUGCCUCUGGAAACAACACCAAGUUUCAUCUUUGUGUGGCUCAAUAUGCCCAGUUAGGGACUGCAAGAGCUUUUCUAGUGGUUGUGGAAAAAGGGCCAUCUACUCAGGCCUGUGACGCUCUGUCCCCCUUGGACUGGCUAGUGUCAGGCUCUGGGCACAGGGAGACCAGGAAGUAUCCCCUGGAAAUCUACUGGGGCGGGGUGGGGAGGAAGCAGUCACCUCAGUGUGAGACCUCCCUGCAGAGGAGUCCAUCCUGCAAGGCUUUUGCUAGCAAAAAAGAAAUUCUCUUUCCUCAAGAAUGUCUCACAAAGGAUCACAAAGGAUCACGCAGAAUUGGGCUCCAUCCUUCUCUGUGCAGGCAGUCCUCUGCCAAAUUCACAGGUGAAAAGCUUGCCAAACAAUUUGGGACUCACAGAUGUUCAGCUAAAUAAAAGAAAGAACUGGCAA